This 1479-nucleotide ribosomal RNA is filed under the name Glycomyces sp. HBUM 49407. RNAcentral describes it as "partial 16S ribosomal RNA". It matches the Rfam family "Bacterial small subunit ribosomal RNA". Lineage: Bacteria; Bacillati; Actinomycetota; Actinomycetes; Glycomycetales; Glycomycetaceae. The record is from RNAcentral.
GGAAACAUGGCGGCGUGCUUCCACAUGCAGUCGAACGGAAAGGCCCGCUUGCGGGUACUCGAGUGGCGAACGGGUGAGUAACACGUGGGUAACCUGCCCCCAUCUCUGGGAUAACCGUUGGAAACGGCGGCUAAUACCGGAUACGACCAGUCCCUGCAUGGGGAUUGGUGGAAAGUUUUUGCGGUUGGGGAGGGGCCCGCGGCCUAUCAGCUUGUUGGUGAGGUGAAAGCUCACCAAGGCUUUGACGGGUAACCGGCCUGAGAGGGCGGUCGGUCACAUUGGGACUGAGAUACGGCCCAGACUCCUACGGGAGGCAGCAGUGGGGAAUUUUGCACAAUGGGCGGAAGCCUGAUGCAGCGACGCCGCGUGAGGGAUGACGGCUUUCGGGUUGUAAACCUCUUUUAUCCACCACGAAGGCCAGGUAUUCGCCUGGUUGACGGUAGUGGUUGAAUAAGCGCCGGCUAACUACGUGCCAGCAGCCGCGGUAAGACGUAGGGCGCGAGCGUUGUCCGGAUUUAUUGGGCGUAAAGGGCUCGUAGGCGGUUGAUUGCGUCCGCCGUGAAAGGCCUCGGCUUAACCGGGGUUUUGCGGUGGAUACGGGUCGACUUGAGGCAAUUAGGGGAGAUCGGAAUUCUACGUGUAGCGGUGAAAUGCGCAGAUAUGUGGAGGAACACCGGUGGCGAAGGCGGAUCUCUGGGAUUGUUCUGACGCUGAGGAGCGAAAGCGUGGGGAGCGAACAGGAUUAGAUACCCUGGUAGUCCAUGCUGUAAACGGUGGGCGCUAGGUGUGGGGUCACGUUGGUUGAUUCUGUGCCGUAGCUAACGCAUUAAGCGCCCCGCCUGGGGAGUACGGCCGCAAGGCUAAAACUCAAAGGAAUUGACGGGGGCCCGCACAAGCGGCGGAGCAUGCGGAUUAAUUCGAUGCAACGCGAAGAACCUUACCUAGGUUUGACAUCACCCGGAAACCUCUAGAGAUAGAGGCCUCUUCGGACUGGGUGACAGGUGGUGCAUGGCUGUCGUCAGCUCGUGUCUUGAGAUGUUGGGUUAAGUCCCGCAACGAGCGCAACCCUUAUCCACCGUUGCCAGCAUUCAAAGGGGGACUCACGGGAGACUGCGAAGUUUAACUAAGGGGAAGGUACGGAAGAGGGCAGGUCAUUCACCUCCUUUCUAAGGAGUCCCGACCCCCGUGCCGGGGGCGUCAACCAUCCGAGCCCGUUGAAGCAACUUUGCUUUAGCCGUUACUGCUCGGUUGUGUAUGGAAUAAAUGUUUUAAACUUGUGUCGACUGCACGUUGGAAAAACCAUCCUUGGCAUCACGUUCCCCUUGCGGGUCGUGGUGCCGCACCCUGUACACACCGCCGACAACACCUCUCUGAGCCUUGUCACCUCGGACCGUCCGCUUGUCGCGGGCCCACUGAUAUGGCAGCUGUGUUGUGUGAGAUUUGUAUAGUGUGCGUGAGCUCUUGUCCAUCAAAGUCGCC